RNA transcript from Ornithodoros turicata, 3539 nucleotides. RefSeq lists it as uncharacterized. NCBI's taxonomy places the organism in Eukaryota, Metazoa, Arthropoda, Arachnida, Ixodida, Argasidae. The record is from RefSeq and is a predicted model, not a curated record. The transcript is spliced from 6 exons.
GAAACUACAAACUACACCACCACAGAGCCGUCUGUUACGGAAAGUGACGCAACACUCAAACGGUUGCCUGGCUACGUUCUUGCCUCUCGCCUCCGUUACAGACUGCGUUGCGCAACGACAUCCAGCGACGAGGUCUGGGGCCGCGCCCGUCUUGUUGUCACACACACCCCUUUAUAGCAUCCACGCACGUGUUCUGAGGCAGAAACGGUGUUCAUGGUGUGUCGUCGCACGGUUCCAGCGGCAUCGCGAGAUGUUCAACGUGUUCCCUGUGCGUCCCUUUCUUUCUGGCAUCGGAUGCCUCUUCACUGCACGGAUGAAGUGUGUUGUAAUCCACGUGUUGAUUACGUUCGUGGCUCUUCGUGAAAACUCGGCAAAACGCAAGGAACAGUUAGGCGGAUGACUGGGCUUGACAGAGACCAUGGAGGGACACUGGGAGACACUGCAAGCUAUGAUCUGAGGAUGUCGGGAGGCCAUAAAGCACCGGCAAACUAGACGCGAGCGACCUUCGCACCAUAGCCCUGUGGACGGCCAACAGAGAGCUAAUGUUACUGCCCCAUCACAUGCGUGUGAAGCGACGGAUCACCGCAAUCCAACGGUGGAUCUUGAUCUCCAAGCUUGCAAUAUUCUACCGCCAAGAGAUCCCAGCAUCAGCAGUAACACCGAGGAACUUAUGCACUAUCAGGGAAAGAUCUUUCCUCAACGAACCCAUUAGAGGAGAAAAACAGAGAAGCAGCUCCACAUCUUUGUCACGACACUCAUCUGCAGCAAAGGCACAGAUUCUCCCUGAAGCCUCAGCAUAUGGGUGUGAAAGCUGGAGAUUCAGUACUCUUCCAUUGUGACGCCGCUGAGGCUGGUGGAAAUGAGAAUAUAAGGUGGAUAAAGAGUGAUCAAGUGAUCUGGAGCAACGGUUGCUGGCAUGUGGCAGGACUGGAUCGCUAUUAUGUCUUCGGAAAUGGAACGCUACAGAUCCGAGAUGCAACGAAGACUGACGGAGGGACCUACGAGUGUAGUAUGGCAGGCCGGAUGGAUUCUGCGCCACUAUCUUACCUAUCUUACUCCCUUCGUGUUCACAAUCCACCGCAUGCAAGCAAACCUUCAAGUUCCAAACAGAAUGUCACACAGAACACUGGAACGUCAUCAGCUUCACCUGCACCGUUGCUGGUUGUUCUGGUGUUUGUUCUCAUCUCCACUGAAACUCUGUCGUGAACUCACUUCCAAAAUGCUGGAUCGGCCUAAGAUUAUCACGCUACGGAUUUUCUUAGUUCAAUCACAGCCGAGGACGUUCGUACCAAGUGGAAUGCCUCCGGUGCAAGACCUAUUUAUUGGUGAGGACAUUUCUUGUUAAUACGACUUCAAUUGUGCGUACGUUGUGAUUGAGGUCAUCUCGUUGACCGAGUGCUGUCAAUGUAAGCCAUGCAAUGAUGUAUUUUGGAAUUUCUCUAUCCUCAACGUCCCGAGAUUGAGGUGCUUGGGUUUCAUAAUCUGGACUGUCCAGAUAAAAAAAUAAAAAAAGAAAGAAAAAGAUUGUGAGACGAAAGUGCUAUAAUCCUGUCACACGCUAGAUCGAGGACAACACAAAUGGCGAAUUCGACUUAUUGGUCGAUUUGAAGCAAUAUUUCCUGGGAUCGGAACUGUUAUUUUUUCCGGUUCGGUUCGGGUUCAAGUCCACAGCGGCGCAAAAUAUCUGUUCGAACUGGAUCAGGAAAGUGUAUUUUGAGCAGAUUGCCAUAGGCAAUCCUUACGAUUAUCAAGUACGACAAAUGUACUUUUAUUGUUGUUGCCGACACAGGAAUGGCUCACAGCAACAUUCGUGUUACAGAUCGCCAUUUCAGGUGCAACGCUACGGUAGCAUGUUGUACUCUUUACGUUCACUCAUCGGAUAGUAUACAUCCUUUUACAUCCUGCUCAAGGACUGACCGUUAUUUUCAUAGCCUAAAAUAUUAACGCUACUUUUGCUCCUUUGCUCCAUUAGCACGAUCUCCAACACAAUUGUGCUUAGAAUGCCACUUCAACUUAUAUUUGGUGGCCGAAGCACCCGAUGAAUGAUCGGUGUUGCUUCAACUGGUGAAAUCAAGCACUGCUGGACCGCGACUGAAUGAGCGCAAUAGCUGGAAAGAGGAAAUAGCUCGCGCAGUUGGAGCGUUGCAGUUUUUGUUUGUUUGUUUUUCAGUUUUGGUUUCGAAUUUGUUUGGUAACGCGGCUCAGUACUCUGCGUAAAUCGUACUUUCGAUCUAUCUCAACGCACAUUACGCCUGGACUAUUUCGCGAACCGGGAAUCGCGCCUUUUUUCUUCUUCUUUUCUGUUGCGUUCCCGCUCGGUUCAACGCGAGAAAAAAAAGGUUCGGUUUAGUUACGGUUCAGCAAAAAAUAGGAGUGGUUUUCGGUUCGGGUUCAGUUUAGGUUCCCUGUUUUUUUUUUUAUCUGCUCCGCGGCGGAGAAGCGUGUUUCUCUGGUCGUUUCAGAACAACUCACUCCGCAACGGAGUGCUCCUUCCUGACCCGCCGAGAAAUCUCGAGGGCGGCCGGAACUCCAACGAGGCAUUAUCGUAACUCCAGCUUCUUCAAAGCCGAGCAACAGCAAAUACUGGGCACGCUCGCCGAGUUUGUUGGGUGUAGGCGACCACUUCCGUCUGACUCUUAGCCGGAGCGCGAGGGCUUUUCGAUGGUGGAUUCGGAUCCGGUGCUCCCGUGUCGGUUUUUGCUGCUCUGUAUAGCCGAUUUGGGUGCUUGUUUCUGGUCGACCUGAAGAAUCCGCCAAAUGUAUUAACGGUGUAAUUCAGUUAAGCCUUUCAGUGGCUUGGGUUUCAGGAACCUCACUGGCAGAGUGGGGUAAUUUAUUGGCAAUGCCGCUCGCUGCAUAGGGACCACAAAGAUUACUGUUGCUGUGCUCUAUGGAACAACAGCCUAUAUGGUAGCACAGGACUACAGGAGAACUAUGAUUUUAAACUGCACAACAACAAAACAUGUGCCUUUUUACCUGAUUGUGUAGAACAGCAGCACUUGUUCAUUUUUAGCACACUUCGUUAUGUAGGCUUCAUGAUGGUAAUUGUUACAAUAGGAUCUGUUUGCAAUACUGUUCAUUGGGCAAAUAUUAGUGUAACAUGACAUGGCUGGCAUGUCUUGGUGUAUGUUGGAGUGUGUGCGAAUGAAAUGGUACUACGUGUACUAGAUGAUCCAGGAUUAUAUUUGGGACAUAAAAUGAAAUCGCAAGAGGUGAGGAGCAAUACUAAUAUUGGGUAGGAAAAGAAGAUAAUUCCAUUAACAUUCAUUAACAUCACAUCAAUGGCAUGACAUUAUGAGACUGAAUAUUCUUCAAACCACGUACAACGUGAAAAGUACAGUCACUGAAACACUAAUAUGCUCACUUGACUUUUUUCAUUGUUCAAUCCCAUAUUUAGUGAUACUGUAUCUGAUAGAUGGAUUGAUUGAUUGAAAAAUAUGGUACCUGAGGUUGACUUCACCUGUAAGGUGUACCGGGUGUAGCGCACCAUGGCUGCUGUGUAUGUGAUGAGCAUUUUCAAUGCUGGGUUGAAACAAAAA